GUCAUAUGCUUGUCUCAAAGAUUAAGCCAUGCAUGUCUCAGUACAAGCCAAAUUAAGGUGAAACCGCGAAAGGCUCAUUAAAUCAGUUAUGGUUCCUUAGAUCGUACCCACAAUUACUUGGAUAACUGUGGUAAUUCUAGAGCUAAUACAUGCAAACAGAGCUCCGACCGGAGACGGAAGGAGUGCUUUUAUUAGAUCAAAACCAAUCGGUGGCGGGUUCGCGCUCGUUAUCGUACAACUUGGUGACUCUGAAUAACUUUACGCUGAUCGCACGGUCAUCGCACCGGCGACGCAUCUUUCAAAUGUCUGCCUUAUCAACUGUCGAUGGUAGGUUCUGCGCCUACCAUGGUCGUAACGGGUAACGGGGAAUCAGGGUUCGAUUCCGGAGAGGGAGCCUGAGAAACGGCUACCACAUCCAAGGAAGGCAGCAGGCGCGCAAAUUACCCACUCCCGGCACGGGGAGGUAGUGACGAAAAAUAACGAUACGGGACUCAUCCGAGGCCCCGUAAUCGGAAUGAGUACACUCUAAACCCUUUAACGAGGAUCAAUUGGAGGGCAAGUCUGGUGCCAGCAGCCGCGG
Molecule: ribosomal RNA, 580 nt
Filed under: Trigonopterus sp. 398-A AR-2020
Lineage: Eukaryota; Metazoa; Arthropoda; Insecta; Coleoptera; Curculionidae
Description: SSU rRNA
Rfam family: Eukaryotic small subunit ribosomal RNA
Source: RNAcentral